RNAcentral lists this ribosomal RNA (507 nucleotides) under uncultured Lachnospiraceae bacterium. Its description in RNAcentral is "bacterial SSU rRNA". It matches the Rfam family "Bacterial small subunit ribosomal RNA", at positions 8 to 507 of the family's 1533-position model. The record is from RNAcentral. Lineage: Bacteria; Bacillati; Bacillota; Clostridia; Lachnospirales; Lachnospiraceae.
AGAGUUUGAUCCUGGCUCAGGAUGAACGCUGGCGGCGUGCCUAACACAUGCAAGUCGAACGGACUUACACAGAAGCAGGAGAUGCUUGCAUUGACUAACGGAAGUGUAAGUUAGUGGCGGACGGGUGAGUAACGCGUGGGCAACCUGCCCCAUACCGGGGGAUAACACCUGGAAACAGGUGCUAAAACCGCAUAAGCGCACAGCUUCGCAUGAAGGUGUGUGAAAAACUCCGGUGGUAUGGGAUGGGCCCGCGUCUGAUUAGCUGGUUGGCGGGGUAACGGCCCACCAAGGCAACGAUCAGUAGCCGGCCUGAGAGGGUGGACGGCCACAUUGGGACUGAGACACGGCCCAAACUCCUACGGGAGGCAGCAGUGGGGAAUAUUGGACAAUGGGGGAAACCCUGAUCCAGCGACGCCGCGUGAGUGAAGAAGUAUUUCGGUACGUAAAGCUCUAUCAGCAGGAAAGAAAAUGACGGUACCUGACUAAGAAGCCCCGGCUAACUACGUA